Molecule: ribosomal RNA, 406 nt
Filed under: bacterium
Lineage: Bacteria
Description: partial 16S ribosomal RNA
Rfam family: Bacterial small subunit ribosomal RNA
Source: RNAcentral
UGGGGAAUAUUGCACAAUGGGGGAAACCCUGAUGCAGCGACGCCGCGUGAGCGAAGAAGUAUUUCGGUAUGUAAAGCUCUAUCAGCAGGGAAGAAGAAAUGACGGUACCUGACUAAGAAGCACCGGCUAAAUACGUGCCAGCAGCCGCGGUAAUACGUAUGGUGCAAGCGUUAUCCGGAUUUACUGGGUGUAAAGGGAGCGCAGGCGGUACGGCAAGUCUGAUGUGAAAGCCCGGGGCUCAACCCCGGUACUGCAUUGGAAACUGCCGGACUAGAGUGUCGGAGGGGUAAGUGGAAUUCCUAGUGUAGCGGUGAAAUGCGUAGAUAUUAGGAGGAACACCAGUGGCGAAGGCGGCUUACUGGACGAUGACUGACGCUGAGGCUCGAAAGCGUGGGGAGCAAACAGG